CCUACGGGAGGCUGCAGUGAGGAAUAUUGGUCAAUGGGCGCUAGCCUGAACCAGCCAAGUAGCGUGAAGGAUGACUGCCCUAUGGGUUGUAAACUUCUUUUGUCAGGGAGCAAUUGGGUCCACGCGUGGGCUUAGCGAGAGUACCUGAAGAAAAAGCAUCGGCUAACUCCGUGCCAGCAGCCGCGGUAAUACGGAGGAUGCGAGCGUUAUCCGGAUUUAUUGGGUUUAAAGGGUGCGUAGGCGGAAUAUCAAGUCAGCGGUAAAAAUUCGGGGCUCAACCCCGUCGUGCCGUUGAAACUGAUGGUCUUGAGUGGGCGAGAAGUAUGCGGAAUGCGUGGUGUAGCGGUGAAAUGCAUAGAUAUCACGCAGAACUCCGAUUGCGAAGGCAGCAUACCGGCGCCCAACUGACGCUGAAGCACGAAAGCGUGGGUAUCGAACAGGAUUAGAUACCCGUGUAGUC
Molecule: ribosomal RNA, 460 nt
Filed under: uncultured bacterium
Lineage: Bacteria
Description: partial 16S ribosomal RNA
Rfam family: Bacterial small subunit ribosomal RNA
Source: RNAcentral